Molecule: transfer RNA, 88 nt
Filed under: compost metagenome
Description: tRNA-Leu
Rfam family: tRNA
About the family: Transfer RNA (tRNA) molecules are approximately 80 nucleotides in length. Their secondary structure includes four short double-helical elements and three loops (D, anti-codon, and T loops).
Source: RNAcentral
UGCCGGGGUGGCGGAAUAGGCAGACGCCCCAGACUUAAAAUCUGGUGUCAGGUGACUGGCGUACGGGUUCAAGUCCCGUCCUCGGCAU